UGAGAAAGGACCAUCACAAUGAGGAUGUGCUGUUUAAUUUAAUUUAAUGCUGCUACUCCUGGUACUACAUUGCACUUCAGGAAUGAUGUCAGGAGAAAUAGAUAAAACUGAGAAUCAUAAAGGCUUCUGCUGGAAUGCAAAGUUCCUAGCUCAAGAUCAAUUAUCCAAGGACAUCAAGAAGAAAAAGACAGUCACAGUAUUUGUCUGCCUCUCAAACUACCCAAGAUGUGAAACUGGUUUUGCUUGCAGUGACAUGCCUGAGGUUUCUUGACUCGUGAGUUUGGCCUAUGAGACAGGACAUCCUGUGUGAUUUCACCAAGUCCAUAUGGUUCUCCAGAGCUUUUCCCAAGGUGAGCGUUAGAGAACAUCAAAUGCUGCUCAA
This is a long non-coding RNA of Haemorhous mexicanus (house finch), 382 nucleotides long. RefSeq lists it as uncharacterized. The record is from RefSeq and is a predicted model, not a curated record. NCBI's taxonomy places the organism in Eukaryota, Metazoa, Chordata, Aves, Passeriformes, Fringillidae. The transcript has 3 exons.